This 468-nucleotide ribosomal RNA is filed under the name uncultured bacterium. Its description in RNAcentral is "partial 16S ribosomal RNA". It matches the Rfam family "Bacterial small subunit ribosomal RNA", at positions 28 to 507 of the family's 1533-position model. The record is from RNAcentral.
GACGAACGCUGGCGGCGUGCUUAACACAUGCAAGUCGAACGGAAAGGCCCUGCUUUUGUGCGGUGCUCGAGUGGGGAACGCGUGAGUACCUCGCGAGUGACUUGCACUUGCCUUUGGGAUAACUUCAGGAUACUGGGGCUAUUACCGGGUAGGAGCUCCUGCUGCAUGGUGGGGGUUGGCACGUUUCGUCGGUUGGGGAUGGACUCGCGGCUUAUCCGAUUGUUGGUGGGGUAGUGGCUUACCAAGGCUUUGACGGGUAGCCGGCCUGGGAGGGUGACCUGCCACGUUGGGACUGAGAUACGGCCCAGACUCCUACGGGAGGCAGCAGUGGAGAAUAUUGCACAAUGGGCGGAAGCCUGAUGCAGCAACGCCGCGUGCGGGAUGACGGCCUUCGGGUUGUAAACCGCUUUCGCCUGUGACGAAACGUGAGUGACGGUAAUGGGUAAAGAAGCACCGGCUAACUACGUG